AUGCUCUCCCCCUGCCCCUCUCGCACCCGGAGGCCCCCAGGACGCGGCGCCCCGCUUCUCAGCAUCCUCCAAACUUUCGCAGGAGCGGACCCGACACCGCACACCGCCCACCCCAGCCAGCAGGGCUUCCUCCUUCCCUGCUCUCCCACCCCCACGGAGAGGCUCCCACGCACCCGAUUCCCCCUCGGAGCACAGCUCGGGGACCGCUGCGCAUCCCCGGAGGAUUUUUCCACCCAACCUCCCCAUCCCAUCCCCAGUCCCCCCAUCCCACAGGGAUGCGUGGCAGGGACAGAGGGCAAACCCCGAGCACUCCCGUGGCGCUGCCCCGAGUGGGGCAGCGAUGCUGGGCUCUCACCUGCCUCCUUUUCUACCUCCUCCUCCUCCUCCUGCCGGCAGGACGGAGCGGGGGCCGCCGCCGGCCUCCUUUAUAUAGCGGCGGGGGGCGCAGCCUCCGAGCCGAGCCGAGCCGAGCCGCAGCGCCCCCCCGCGGCCCGAGGCUCCCCCCGCGCCGCCCCCGCGCCCCGAGCACUGGGGGGGGGCCGUGGGAAACGCGCCCCGCUUCGGGCCCCGGGAUGCUCGAAGCAGAAAGGAGGAGCUGGUCCCCAAAAAGGGGAGCCCGCAAGGAGAGAACCUGGCUCGUCGCAAACCCCCACAACCUGUGCUGGAAAGAUGUAG
Molecule: long non-coding RNA, 675 nt
Filed under: Anas platyrhynchos platyrhynchos (common mallard)
Lineage: Eukaryota; Metazoa; Chordata; Aves; Anseriformes; Anatidae
Description: lncRNA (ENSAPLG00000022649.1)
Source: RNAcentral